Molecule: ribosomal RNA, 1125 nt
Filed under: Tripos fusus
Lineage: Eukaryota; Dinophyceae; Gonyaulacales; Ceratiaceae
Description: partial Bacterial large subunit ribosomal RNA
Rfam family: Bacterial large subunit ribosomal RNA
Source: RNAcentral
UGUGGUUAGGGGUGAAAGGCCAAUCAAACCGGGUAAUAGCUGGUUCUCCGCGAAAACUAUUUAGGUAGUGCGUCACGUAUUACCGCCGGGGGUAGAGCACUGGAUGGGCUAGGGGGUCCCAACGACUUACCAAACCUAACCAAACUCCGAAUACCGGUGAGUACAGCGUGGCAGACAGACUGUGGGUGCUAAGGUCCAUGGUCGAAAGGGAAACAGCCCAGACCGCCAGCUAAGGUCCCUAAGUCAUGGCUAAGUGGGAAAGGAUGUGGGAAGGCCAAGACAACCAGGAGGUUGGCUUAGAAGCAGCCACCCUUUAAAGAAAGCGUAAUAGCUCACUAGUCGAGUCGGCCUGCGCGGAAGAUGUAACGGGGCUAAGCAAUAUACCGAAGCUGCGGAUGUGCAUUUAUUUGUACAUGGUAGGGGAGCGUUGUGUAAGUGGUUGAAGGUGAGCUGUGAGGCUUGCUGGACAUAUCACAAGUGCGAAUGCUGACAUGAGUAACGAUAAUGGGGGUGAAAAACCCCCACGCCGGAAGACCAAGGUUUCCUGUCCCAUGCUAAUCAGGGCAGGGUAAGUCGGCCCCUAAGGCGAGGCAGAAAUGCGUAGUCGAUGGGAAACGGAUUAAUAUUUCCGUACUUGGUAUAUCAGUGAAGGGGGGACGGAGAAGGCUAAGCAAGCUUGGUGUUGGUUAUCCAAGUGAAAGUGUGUAGGGCGUUGAAUUAGGUAAAUCCGGUUCAACACUAACCUGAGACACGAGACGAGUUUCUAAGGAAACGAAGUUGUUGAUGCCAUGCUUCCAGGAAAAGCCUCUAAACUUAUGAUAUAUCGAACCGUACCCCAAACCGACACAGGUGGUCAGGUAGAGAAUACCAAGGCGCUUGAGAGAACUAUGUUGAAGGAACUCGGCAAAUUACCUCCGUAACUUCGGGAGAAGGAGGCCUCAAUCUGGGCAACCAGGUCUGAGGGGCACAAAACUGGGGGUUGCGACUGUUUAUCAAAAACACAGGGCUCUGCGAAGCCGUAAGGCGACGUAUAGGGUCUGACGCCUGCCCGGUGCCGGAAGGUUAAAAGGAGGAGUGAGAGCUCCGAAUUGAAGCCCCGGUAAACGGCGGCCGUAACAAUAACGG